GGUUAAGCGACUAAGCGUACACGGUGGAUGCCCUGGCAGUCAGAGGCGAUGAAGGACGUGCUAAUCUGCGAUAAGCGUCGGUGAGGUGAUAUGAACCGUUAUAACCGGCGAUUUCCGAAUGGGGAAACCCAGUGUGUUUCGACACACUAUCAUUAACUGAAUCCAUAGGUUAAUGAGGCGAACCGGGGGAACUGAAACAUCUAAGUACCCCGAGGAAAAGAAAUCAACCGAGAUUCCCCCAGUAGCGGCGAGCGAACGGGGAGGAGCCCAGAGCCUGAAUCAGUGUGUGUGUUAGUGGAAGCGUCUGGAAAGGCGUGCGAUACAGGGUGACAGCCCCGUACACAAAAAUGCACAUAUUGUGAGCUCGAUGAGUAGGGCGGGACACGUGGUAUCCUGUCUGAAUAUGGGGGGACCAUCCUCCAAGGCUAAAUACUCCUGACUGACCGAUAGUGAACCAGUACCGUGAGGGAAAGGCGAAAAGAACCCCGGCGAGGGGAGUGAAAAAGAACCUGAAACCGUGUACGUACAAGCAGUGGGAGCCUCUUAAUGGGGUGACUGCGUACCUUUUGUAUAAUGGGUCAGCGACUUAUAUUCUGUAGCAAGGUUAACCGAAUAGGGGAGCCGAAGGGAAACCGAGUCUUAACUGGGCGUUAAGUUGCAGGGUAUAGACCCGAAACCCGGUGAUCUAGCCAUGGGCAGGUUGAAGGUUGGGUAACACUAACUGGAGGACCGAACCGACUAAUGUUGAAAAAUUAGCGGAUGACUUGUGGCUGGGGGUGAAAGGCCAAUCAAACCGGGAGAUAGCUGGUUCUCCCCGAAAGCUAUUUAGGUAGCGCCUCGUGAAUUCAUCUCCGGGGGUAGAGCACUGUUUCGGCAAGGGGGUCAUCCCGACUUACCAACCCGAUGCAAACUGCGAAUACCGGAGAAUGUUAUCACGGGAGACACACGGCGGGUGCUAACGUCCGUCGUGAAGAGGGAAACAACCCAGACCGCCAGCUAAGGUCCCAAAGUCAUGGUUAAGUGGGAAACGAUGUGGGAAGGCCCAGACAGCCAGGAUGUUGGCUUAGAAGCAGCCAUCAUUUAAAGAAAGCGUAAUAGCUCACUGGUCGAGUCGGCCUGCGCGGAAGAUGUAACGGGGCUAAACCAUGCACCGAAGCUGCGGCAGCGACACUAUGUGUUGUUGGGUAGGGGAGCGUUCUGUAAGCCUGUGAAGGUGGCCUGUGAGGGUUGCUGGAGGUAUCAGAAGUGCGAAUGCUGACAUAAGUAACGAUAAAGCGGGUGAAAAGCCCGCUCGCCGGAAGACCAAGGGUUCCUGUCCAACGUUAAUCGGGGCAGGGUGAGUCGACCCCUAAGGCGAGGCCGAAAGGCGUAGUCGAUGGGAAACAGGUUAAUAUUCCUGUACUUGGUGUUACUGCGAAGGGGGACGGAGAAGGCUAUGUUGGCCGGGCGACGGUUGUCCCGGUUUAAGCGUGUAGGCUGGUUUUCCAGGCAAAUCCGGAAAACCAAGGCUGAGGCGUGAUGACGAGGCACUACGGUGCUGAAGCGACAAAUGCCCUGCUUCCAGGAAAAGCCUCUAAGCAUCAGGUAACAUCAAAUCGUACCCCAAACCGACACAGGUGGUCAGGUAGAGAAUACCAAGGCGCUUGAGAGAACUCGGGUGAAGGAACUAGGCAAAAUGGUGCCGUAACUUCGGGAGAAGGCACGCUGAUAUGUAGGUGAAGCGACUUGCUCGUGGAGCUGAAAUCAGUCGAAGAUACCAGCUGGCUGCAACUGUUUAUUAAAAACACAGCACUGUGCAAACACGAAAGUGGACGUAUACGGUGUGACGCCUGCCCGGUGCCGGAAGGUUAAUUGAUGGGGUUAGCGGCAACGCGAAGCUCUUGAUCGAAGCCCCGGUAAACGGCGGCCGUAACUAUAACGGUCCUAAGGUAGCGAAAUUCCUUGUCGGGUAAGUUCCGACCUGCACGAAUGGCGUAAUGAUGGCCAGGCUGUCUCCACCCGAGACUCAGUGAAAUUGAACUCGCUGUGAAGAUGCAGUGUACCCGCGGCAAGACGGAAAGACCCCGUGAACCUUUACUAUAGCUUGACACUGAACAUUGAGCCUUGAUGUGUAGGAUAGGUGGGAGGCUUUGAAGUGUGGACGCCAGUCUGCAUGGAGCCGACCUUGAAAUACCACCCUUUAAUGUUUGAUGUUCUAACGUUGGCCCGUAAUCCGGGUUGCGGACAGUGUCUGGUGGGUAGUUUGACUGGGGCGGUCUCCUCCUAAAGAGUAACGGAGGAGCACGAAGGUUGGCUAAUCCUGGUCGGACAUCAGGAGGUUAGUGCAAUGGCAUAAGCCAGCUUGACUGCGAGCGUGACGGCGCGAGCAGGUGCGAAAGCAGGUCAUAGUGAUCCGGUGGUUCUGAAUGGAAGGGCCAUCGCUCAACGGAUAAAAGGUACUCCGGGGAUAACAGGCUGAUACCGCCCAAGAGUUCAUAUCGACGGCGGUGUUUGGCACCUCGAUGUCGGCUCAUCACAUCCUGGGGCUGAAGUAGGUCCCAAGGGUAUGGCUGUUCGCCAUUUAAAGUGGUACGCGAGCUGGGUUUAGAACGUCGUGAGACAGUUCGGUCCCUAUCUGCCGUGGGCGCUGGAGAACUGAGGGGGGCUGCUCCUAGUACGAGAGGACCGGAGUGGACGCAUCACUGGUGUUCGGGUUGUCAUGCCAAUGGCACUGCCCGGUAGCUAAAUGCGGAAGAGAUAAGUGCUGAAAGCAUCUAAGCACGAAACUUGCCCCGAGAUGAGUUCUCCCUGACUCCUUGAGAGUCCUGAAGGAACGUUGAAGACGACGACGUUGAUAGGCCGGGUGUGUAAGCGCAGCGAUGCGUUGAGCUAACCGGUACUAAUGAACCGUGAGGCUUAACCUU
Molecule: ribosomal RNA, 2903 nt
Filed under: Escherichia coli
Lineage: Bacteria; Pseudomonadati; Pseudomonadota; Gammaproteobacteria; Enterobacterales; Enterobacteriaceae
Description: 23S ribosomal RNA
Rfam family: Bacterial large subunit ribosomal RNA
Source: RNAcentral